AUAGAGAUUCUGACAACAAGUCUGAACAAGUCUUGGACACGUGCACAAACAUGUGUUUUGUGACUGAGGUUUAAUUUUUGUUAUUAACGAAUGGAUUGGGACCUCAUCUUCAAGAUCAUAGCGAAAGACUGCCACACAUGCCUUAAAGGAAAAAUGAAAAAAAAAAAAAAAAAAAAAAAAAAAAAAAAAAAAACAAGAAGUUAAACAGAGCAUGCAAUGAAACCCAUGAUUCCAAUGACCACAAGAAUUGACCUCCAAAUACUUAAUAUGUGAAAUCAACCUUGCACCUGGUAUAGUAUCCCUAUCCGUCCCACUGCUCAAACAUCUUGGGUGCAUAGUAGUGGCGGUGGUUUUGGCGGAAGAGCAGCUUUGACCAUAAUUAGGGUUUGUGGAGAAAUAAGGUGUGUAUUUGAUCCAGAAGGAGAUUACUAAUUUGAAUUAGAGUGUGUGAAGAAAUAGAGAGAAUGAAGAAUAAAUUAGAAAAUGAUUGCCUCCAUAAUUUCGUGGUUUUAUAUGGAUCAUAGUAAUUAACAUGAAAAUCUAGGUAAUUUAGUAGCAGAUUUCUUGGAUUGAAGUUGGAAACUUUGAUAUAUGUCGAAUAUGCUCAAAAC
Molecule: long non-coding RNA, 611 nt
Filed under: Lactuca sativa (garden lettuce)
Lineage: Eukaryota; Viridiplantae; Streptophyta; Magnoliopsida; Asterales; Asteraceae
Description: long non-coding RNA (LSAT_LNC003349)
Source: RNAcentral